This 323-nucleotide ribosomal RNA is filed under the name uncultured Chloroflexota bacterium. RNAcentral describes it as "bacterial SSU rRNA". It matches the Rfam family "Bacterial small subunit ribosomal RNA", at positions 28 to 351 of the family's 1533-position model. Lineage: Bacteria; Bacillati; Chloroflexota. The record is from RNAcentral.
GAUGAACGCUGGCGGCGUGCUUAAUACAUGCAAGUCGAACGGAGGUAUGUAGCAAUACGUAUCUUAGUGGCGAACGGGUGAGUAACGCGUUGGUGACCUGCCCCAAAGUGUGGGAUAACAGUCCGAAAGGAUUGCUAAUACCGCAUGUGGUCAUCGGGUUUAGAAACCGAUGACUAAAGCAGUAAUGCGCUUUGGGAGGGACCUGCGUCCCAUCAGCUAGUUGGUAGGGUAAUGGCCUACCAAGGCGACGACGGGUAGGGGACCUGAGAGGGUGGCCCCCCACAAUGGAACUGAAACACGGUCCAUACACCUACGGGAGGCAG